ACACGACUACAUUAGAUACCCCCGUAGUCCAGGGUGUAAACGAUACUCGCUAGGUGUCGGCCACGGUGCGACCGUUGUCGGUGCCGUAGGGAAGCCGUGAAGCGAGCCACCUGGGAAGUACGGCCGCAAGGCUGAAACUUAAAGGAAUUGGCGGGGGAGCACCACAACGGGUGGAGCUUGCGGUUUAAUUGGAUUCAACGCCGGAAAUCUUACCGGGACCGACAGCAACAUGAAGGCCAGGCUGAAGACUUUGCCGGAUUAGCUG
This 265-nucleotide ribosomal RNA is filed under the name uncultured archaeon. RNAcentral's name for it is "partial 16S ribosomal RNA". It matches the Rfam family "Archaeal small subunit ribosomal RNA", at positions 717 to 982 of the family's 1478-position model. The record is from RNAcentral.